GACGAACGCUGGCGGCGUGCUUAAUACACGCAAGUCGAGCGAGGUUACUGUUUCGGAUCCCUUCGGGGUGAAGAAGCUUUAACCUAGCGGCGGACGGGUGAGUAACGCGUGGGUAACCUACCCCAAAGUCCGGGAUAACAGCGGGAAACCGCUGCUAAUACCGGAUGCCUUUACCUUGGGGCAUCUUGAGGUAAAGAAAGGCAACGCUUUGGGAUGGGCCCGCGUCCCAUUAGCUAGUUGGUGAGGUAACGGCUCACCAAGGCGACGAUGGGUAGCCGGCCUGAGAGGGUGGACGGCCACACUGGGACUGAGACACGGCCCAGACUCCUACGGGAGGCAGCAGUAGGGAAUAUUGCGCAAUGGACGGAAGUCUGACGCAGCGACGCCGCGUGAGCGAUGAAGGUCUUCGGAUCGUAAAGCUCUGUCCUUGGGGAAGAAGGCGAAAGCUUGACGGUACCCAAGAAGAAAGCCCCGGCUAACUACGUGCCAGCAGCCGCGGUAAUACGUAGGGGGCGAGCGUUGUCCGGAAUUACUGGGCGUAAAGGGUGCGUAGGCGGCCCUUUAAGUCGGAUGUGAAAGCCCGCGGCUUAACCGCGGAAUGGCAUUCGAAACUGGAGGGCUUGAGUGUCGGAGAGGGUAGUGGAAUUCCCAGUGUAGCGGUGAAAUGCGUAGAUUUUGGGAGGAACACCAGUGGCGAAGGCGACUACCUGGACGAUAACUGACGCUAAGGCACGAAAGCUAGGGGAGCAAACAGG
Molecule: ribosomal RNA, 755 nt
Filed under: uncultured Neomoorella sp.
Lineage: Bacteria; Bacillati; Bacillota; Clostridia; Neomoorellales; Neomoorellaceae
Description: bacterial SSU rRNA
Rfam family: Bacterial small subunit ribosomal RNA
Source: RNAcentral